GGAAUAUUGGACAAUGGGGGAAACCCUGAUCCAGCAAUGCCGCGUGAGUGAAGAAGGCCUUAGGGUUGUAAAGCUCUUUCGCCCGCGAAGAUAAUGACGGUAGCGGGAGAAGAAGCCCCGGCUAACUCCGUGCCAGCAGCCGCGGUAAUACGGAGGGGGCUAGCGUUGUUCGGAAUUACUGGGCGUAACGCGUACGUAGGCGGAUGCGCAAGUUGGGGGUGAAAUCCCGGGGCUUAACCUCGGAAUUGCCCUCAAAACUGCACGUCUUGAGACCGAGAGAGGUAAGGGGAAUUCCUAGUGUAGAGGUGAAAUUCGUAGAUAUUAGGAAGAACACCAGUGGCGAAGGCGCCUUACUGGCUCGGUACCGACGCGGAGGUACGAAAGCGUGGGGAGCAAACA
Molecule: ribosomal RNA, 399 nt
Filed under: uncultured bacterium
Lineage: Bacteria
Description: bacterial SSU rRNA
Rfam family: Bacterial small subunit ribosomal RNA
Source: RNAcentral